Molecule: ribosomal RNA, 253 nt
Filed under: uncultured bacterium
Lineage: Bacteria
Description: partial 16S ribosomal RNA
Rfam family: Bacterial small subunit ribosomal RNA
Source: RNAcentral
UACGUAGGGUCCGAGCGUUGUCCGGAAUUAUUGGGCGUAAAGAGCUCGUAGGUGGCGCGGGCAGUCAACGGUGAAAGUUCGGGGCUCAACCCUGAAUCGGCCGUCGAUACUCCCGUGCUGGAGCACUGUAGAGGCUAAUGGAAUUCCGGGUGUAGCGGUGGAAUGCGUAGAGAUCCGGAAGAACACCGGUGGCGAAGGCGGUUAGCUGGGCAGUUGCUGACACUGAGGCGCGACAGCGUGGGGAGCAAACAGG